Molecule: microRNA precursor, 66 nt
Filed under: Marmota monax (woodchuck)
Lineage: Eukaryota; Metazoa; Chordata; Mammalia; Rodentia; Sciuridae
Source: RNAcentral
UCUUAUGAGUGAACAAAGAAAGUAUUUCCUUGAGAAGGAAUCCAUUCCUGGUGAAGAAGCUGUAAA